RNAcentral lists this transfer RNA (85 nucleotides) under Felis catus (domestic cat). It matches the Rfam family "tRNA". Rfam says of the family: Transfer RNA (tRNA) molecules are approximately 80 nucleotides in length. Lineage: Eukaryota; Metazoa; Chordata; Mammalia; Carnivora; Felidae. The record is from Rfam by way of RNAcentral.
GCCUGAGUGGCUCAAUCGGUUAAACAUCUGACUUUGGCUCGGAUCAUGAUCUCAUGAUCUGUGAGUUCAAGCCUCACCUUGGGCU